GAUGAAGAACGCAGCGAAAUGCGAUAAGUAAUGUGAAUUGCAGAAUUCAGUGAAUCAUCGAAUCUUUGAACGCACAUUGCGCCCGCCAGUAUUCUGGCGGGCAGGCCUGUUCGAGCGUCAUUACAACCCUCAGGCCCCCGGGCCUGGCGUUGGGGAUCGGCGGAGCCCCCCGUGGGCACACGCCGUCCCCCAAAUGCAGUGGCGGUCCCGCCGCAGCUUCCAUCGCGUAGUAGCUAACACCUCGCGACUGGAGAGCGGCGCGGCCACGCCGUAAAACACCCAACUCUUCUGAAGUUGACCUCGAAUCAGGUAGGAAUACCCGCUGAACUUAAGCAUAUCAAUAAGCGGAGGA
This 352-nucleotide unclassified non-coding RNA is filed under the name soil metagenome. RNAcentral describes it as "partial contains 5.8S ribosomal RNA, internal transcribed spacer 2, and large subunit ribosomal RNA". The stretch from base 1 to 120 matches the Rfam family "5.8S ribosomal RNA", at positions 35 to 154 of the family's 154-position model. The record is from RNAcentral.